RNAcentral lists this transfer RNA (68 nucleotides) under Ictidomys tridecemlineatus (thirteen-lined ground squirrel). Its description in RNAcentral is "Spermophilus tridecemlineatus (thirteen-lined ground squirrel) tRNA". It matches the Rfam family "tRNA". Rfam says of the family: Transfer RNA (tRNA) molecules are approximately 80 nucleotides in length. Lineage: Eukaryota; Metazoa; Chordata; Mammalia; Rodentia; Sciuridae. The record is from Rfam by way of RNAcentral.
GGGGCUGUAGCUCUGUGGUUGAGCACUUGCCUUGCAUGUGUGAGGCAUGGGUUCAAUCCUCAGCACCA